Amblyraja radiata (thorny skate) is the source of this 114-nucleotide long non-coding RNA. RefSeq lists it as uncharacterized. The transcript has 3 exons. NCBI's taxonomy places the organism in Eukaryota, Metazoa, Chordata, Chondrichthyes, Rajiformes, Rajidae. The record is from RefSeq and is a predicted model, not a curated record.
GCGUGGGUUUUCUCCAGGUGCUUCGGUUUCCUCCCACACUCCAAAGACGUGCAGGAUUGUAGGUGGAUUGACUUGGUACAAUUGCCAAAUUGUCCCUAGAGUGUGCAGGAGGAG